ACGAACGUUGGCGGCGUGGAUUAGGCAUGCAAGUCGAACGAAUCUCAGGGGGGUAACUCUCUGGGGGAAGUGGCGAAAGGGGCAGUAAUGCGUGGGUAACCUACCCCGGGGAUCGGGAUAGCCUUCCUAACGGAAGGGUAAUACCGGGCGAGCCAGCGAGGGCGCAUGUCCUUGCUGGGAAAUGAAUUUCGCCUCGGGAGGGGCUCACGUGCUAUUAGCUAGUUGGUGAGGUGACGGCUCACCAAGGCUGAGAUGGCUAGCAGGUGUGAGGGCACGACCUGCGCCACUGGCACUGUGACACUGGCCAGACUCCUACGGGAGGCUGCAGUCGAGGAUCUUCGGCAAUGGGCGCAAGCCUGACCGAGCGACGCCGCGUGCGCGAUGAAGGCCUUCGGGUUGUAAAGCGCUGUCGAGGGGGAGGAAAGCCGCAAGGCCUGACCUAUCCCUGGAGGAAGCACGGGCUAAGUUCGU
RNAcentral lists this ribosomal RNA (471 nucleotides) under uncultured bacterium. RNAcentral's name for it is "bacterial SSU rRNA". It matches the Rfam family "Bacterial small subunit ribosomal RNA", at positions 29 to 506 of the family's 1533-position model. The record is from RNAcentral.